UUGACUUGUUUGUCCUGGUGGGCUGUU
This 27-nucleotide non-coding RNA is filed under the name Homo sapiens (human). Lineage: Eukaryota; Metazoa; Chordata; Mammalia; Primates; Hominidae. The record is from RNAcentral.